AUACGUAGGGGGCGAGCGUUGUCCGGAAUGAUUGGGCGUAAAGGGCGCGUAGGCGGCCCGGUAAGUCUGGAGUGAAAGUCCUGUUUUUAAGAUGGGAAUUGCUUUGGAUACUGUCGGGCUUGAGUGCAGGAGAGGUAAGUGGAAUUCCCAGUGUAGCGGUGAAAUGCGUAGAGAUUGGGAGGAACACCAGUGGCGAAGGCGACUUACUGGACUGUAACUGACGCUGAGGCGCGAAAGUGUGGGGAGCAAACAGGAUUAGAUACCCUGGUAGUCCACACUGUAAACGAUGAAUGCUAGGUGUAGGAGGUAUCGACCCCUUCUGUGCCGCAGUCAACACAAUAAGCAUUCCGCCUGGGGAGUACGGCCGCAAGGUUGAAACUCAAAUGAAUUGACGGGG
RNAcentral lists this ribosomal RNA (397 nucleotides) under uncultured bacterium. Its description in RNAcentral is "partial 16S ribosomal RNA". It matches the Rfam family "Bacterial small subunit ribosomal RNA", at positions 523 to 918 of the family's 1533-position model. The record is from RNAcentral.